UGUCGUCAGCUCGUGUUGUGAAAUGUUGGGUUAAGUCCCGCAACGAGCGCAACCCUUAUCCUUGUUUGCCAGCGAGUAAUGUCGGGAACUCCAGGGAGACUGCCGGUGAUAAACCGGAGGAAGGUGGGGACGACGUCAAGUCAUCAUGGCCCUUACGAGUAGGGCUACACACGUGCUACAAUGGCGCAUACAGAGGGCGGCGAACUUGCGAGAGUGAGCGAAUCCCAAAAAGUGCGUCGUAGUCCGGAUUGGAGUCUGCAACUCGACUCCAUGAAGUCGGAAUCGCUAGUAAUCGUAGAUCAGAAUGCUACGGUGAAUACGUUCCCGGGCCUUGUACACACCGCCCGUCACACCAUGGGAGUGGGCUGCAAAAGAAGUGGGUAGUUUAACCUUUCGGGGAGGACGCUCACCACUUUGUGGUUCAUGACUGGGGUGAAGUCGUAACAAGGUAGCCCUAGGGGAACCUGGGGCUGGAUCACCUCCUUA
This 486-nucleotide ribosomal RNA is filed under the name Vibrionales bacterium SWAT-3. RNAcentral's name for it is "bacterial SSU rRNA". It matches the Rfam family "Bacterial small subunit ribosomal RNA", at positions 1050 to 1533 of the family's 1533-position model. Lineage: Bacteria; Pseudomonadati; Pseudomonadota; Gammaproteobacteria; Vibrionales. The record is from RNAcentral.